Molecule: ribosomal RNA, 483 nt
Filed under: uncultured bacterium
Lineage: Bacteria
Description: partial 16S ribosomal RNA
Rfam family: Bacterial small subunit ribosomal RNA
Source: RNAcentral
UUGAACGCUGGCGGCAGGCCUAACACAUGCAAGUCGAGCGGAUGAAGGGAGCUUGCUCCUGGAUUCAGCGGCGGACGGGUGAGUAAUGCCUAGGAAUCUGCCUGGUAGUGGGGGAUAACGUCCGGAAACGGGCGCUAAUACCGCAUACGUCCUGAGGGAGAAAGUGGGGGAUCUUCGGACCUCACGCUAUCAGAUGAGCCUAGGUCGGAUUAGCUAGUUGGUGGGGUAAAGGCCUACCAAGGCGACGAUCCGUAACUGGUCUGAGAGGAUGAUCAGUCACACUGGAACUGAGACACGGUCCAGACUCCUACGGGAGGCAGCAGUGGGGAAUAUUGGACAAUGGGCGAAAGCCUGAUCCAGCCAUGCCGCGUGUGUGAAGAAGGUCUUCGGAUUGUAAAGCACUUUAAGUUGGGAGGAAGGGAAGUAAGUUAAUACCUUGCUGUUUUGACGUUACCAACAGAAUAAGCACCGGCUAACUUCGUG